Molecule: ribosomal RNA, 253 nt
Filed under: uncultured prokaryote
Description: partial 16S ribosomal RNA
Rfam family: Bacterial small subunit ribosomal RNA
Source: RNAcentral
GACAGAGGGGGCAAGCGUUGCUCGGAAUCACUGGGCGUAAAGGGCGCGUAGGCGGGAUGGCAAGUCGGUCGUGAAAUCCUUCGGCUCAACCGAAGAACGUCGAUCGAUACUGCUGUUCUUGAGGGUUGCAGAGGAGACUGGAAUUUACGGUGUAGCAGUGAAAUGCGUAGAGAUCGUAAGGAAGACCAGUGGCGAAGGCGGGUCUCUGGACAGUUCCUGACACUGAGGCACGAAGGCCAGGGGAGCAAACGGG